RNAcentral lists this unclassified non-coding RNA (87 nucleotides) under Acromyrmex echinatior (Panamanian leafcutter ant). Its description in RNAcentral is "uncharacterized LOC105147591, transcript variant X1". Lineage: Eukaryota; Metazoa; Arthropoda; Insecta; Hymenoptera; Formicidae. The record is from RNAcentral.
AUCUGUAUCGCAAUUGCGAUCCCAUAAUCCGCCGUUUUCGAGACUAAAUUAAACGGGCGCAAGAGAGAGUACUUAUAUGGACCGAGC